Molecule: long non-coding RNA, 306 nt
Filed under: Arachis ipaensis
Lineage: Eukaryota; Viridiplantae; Streptophyta; Magnoliopsida; Fabales; Fabaceae
Description: long non-coding RNA (AIPA_LNC002237)
Source: RNAcentral
CAACAGUGGCUCUAUCAACGAAAACAGGGCGCAACAGUAACGGUGUGACCCCAAUCGACGGCAGCGGCGGCGGCGGAGCAGGACGGUGCGAGAACGGACCUCGUCCUUCUCCUUCCAGGUUCGUUCUUCUGACAGCAGCGACGGUUAGGAUUCGGCGGCAGUGACUCCCUCAAUGGCGACGGCGGCGGUCUAGGCGGAAUCGGCGGUGAUGACGGGAGCAGUCUUCCUCCCCUUCCUUGACUCUCGAGCUCUCCGUCUCCCUCUCUCAAUCUCUCUUCUCCUUCCUCACGUCCGUCUCUCUCUCAG